This 442-nucleotide ribosomal RNA is filed under the name uncultured bacterium. RNAcentral describes it as "partial 16S ribosomal RNA". It matches the Rfam family "Bacterial small subunit ribosomal RNA", at positions 338 to 795 of the family's 1533-position model. The record is from RNAcentral.
CCUACGGGAGGCAGCAGUGGGGAAUAUUGGGCAAUGGGCGCAAGCCUGACCCAGCAACGCCGCGUGAAGGAAGAAGGCUUUCGGGUUGUAAACUUCUUUUAAGAGGGAAGAGCAGAAGACGGUACCUCUUGAAUAAGCCACGGCUAACUACGUGCCAGCAGCCGCGGUAAUACGUAGGUGGCAAGCGUUGUCCGGAUUUACUGGGUGUAAAGGGCGUGCAGCCGGGAAGACAAGUCAGAUGUGAAAGCCCGCGGCUCAACCGCGGAACUGCAUGUGAAACUGUUUUUCUUGAGUACCGGAGAGGACAUCGGAAUUCCUUGUGUAGCGGUGAAAUGCGUAGAUAUAAGGAAGAACACCAGUGGCGAAGGCGGAUGACUGGACGGCAACUGACGGUGAGGCGCGAAAGCGUGGGGAGCAAACAGGAUUAGAUACCCCUGUAGUC